This 207-nucleotide ribosomal RNA is filed under the name uncultured Clostridia bacterium. RNAcentral describes it as "partial 16S ribosomal RNA". It matches the Rfam family "Bacterial small subunit ribosomal RNA", at positions 568 to 774 of the family's 1533-position model. The record is from RNAcentral. Lineage: Bacteria; Bacillati; Bacillota; Clostridia.
UGCGUAGGCGGCAUAAUAAGUCAGAUGUGAAAUCCCAGGGCUUAACCCUGGAGUUGCAUUUGAAACUGUGAUGCUUGAGUGCAGGAGAGGGAAGCGGAAUUCCUAGUGUAGCGGUGAAAUGCGUAGAGAUUAGGAGGAACACCAGUGGCGAAGGCGGCUUUCUGGACUGUAACUGACGCUGAGGCACGAAAGCGUGGGGAGCGAACA